CAUUAUCACUUAUUCCGUUAUUAAUUGAUCAGUUUGCUUCUGUGUCUCCAAAUUGAUCAUGUGCAUCCCUGCUUUUACUGGAUAAUGUUUUUACAUCACCACAUGCCCCUGUGAUCAUGGAAAAGUUGAGAUCGGUGUCCUGUUGUGUAGGGUAAACAUCAGAGUUGAUAAGGCUAUUGGAGAACAAACGUGUUUGAUGUUCUCGAAAUUCAUUCAUUCCAGAUGAAUGAGCAAACAACAACAAGAAGUCAAGAACAUGCCAGUAUAAUCCCACAGAUGGAUCAGAAAAUAAAUCAAAAUUCCUCCAGAUACUGCUGCACUGAUCCUCUCUCUAUUUCUCUCUAUUCUCUAUCUAUCUUUUUCUAAUGCACUAGAGUACAACUUUCAUGGAGGCUGGAGCACAUCUCUAUGAACAUAUAGGGUUUCUUAUGCAUGAUUUAUCAGCUAACAAUUACACUUUCUUUGGUAGCAGAUUCCACAUGAAGAAAA
This is a long non-coding RNA of Solanum pennellii, 489 nucleotides long. RefSeq lists it as uncharacterized. The transcript is spliced from 2 exons. The record is from RefSeq and is a predicted model, not a curated record. Lineage: Eukaryota; Viridiplantae; Streptophyta; Magnoliopsida; Solanales; Solanaceae.